UACGUAGGGGGCAAGCGUUGUCCGGAUUUAUUGGGCGUAAAGCGCUCGCAGGUGGUUCAUUGCGUCGUGCGUGAAAGACCCCGGCUCAACUGGGGAGGGUCGUGCGAAACGGGUGAACUAGAGGCCAGUAGGGGGAUGUGGAAUUCCGGGUGUAGUGGUGGAAUGCGUAGAGAUCCGGAGGAACACCAGCGGCGAAGGCGGCCACCUGGACCAGGCCUGACGCUGAGGCGCGAAGGCCGGGGGAGCGAACGGG
RNAcentral lists this ribosomal RNA (253 nucleotides) under uncultured bacterium. RNAcentral's name for it is "partial 16S ribosomal RNA". It matches the Rfam family "Bacterial small subunit ribosomal RNA", at positions 524 to 776 of the family's 1533-position model. The record is from RNAcentral.